GCCGGUAUAGCUCAGUUGGUAGAGCAUCUGAUUUGUAAUCAGAGGGUCGGGAGUUCAAGUCUCUCUGCCGGCACCA
RNAcentral lists this transfer RNA (76 nucleotides) under Alphaproteobacteria bacterium. RNAcentral describes it as "tRNA-Thr(tgt)". It matches the Rfam family "tRNA". From Rfam's summary of the family: Transfer RNA (tRNA) molecules are approximately 80 nucleotides in length. RNAcentral also lists the same sequence under 6 other names. Lineage: Bacteria; Pseudomonadati; Pseudomonadota; Alphaproteobacteria. The record is from RNAcentral.